Molecule: ribosomal RNA, 452 nt
Filed under: uncultured bacterium
Lineage: Bacteria
Description: bacterial SSU rRNA
Rfam family: Bacterial small subunit ribosomal RNA
Source: RNAcentral
GUGGGGAAUUUUGCGCAAUGGGCGAAAGCCUGACGCAGCAACGCCGCGUGGGUGAUGAAGGCCUUCGGGUCGUAAAGCCCUGUCGGAGGGAACGAACUCCCCGCCAACGAAUAAUUGGCGGGGCUUGACGGUACCCUCAAAGGAAGCACCGGCUAACCACGUGCCAGCAGCCGCGGUAAUACGUGGGGUGCAAGCGUUGUUCGGAAUUACUGGGCGUAAAGCGCGUGUAGGCGGCCAAACGGGUCAGGUGUGAAAUCCCUCGGCUUAACUGAGGAAGUGCGCCUGAAACUAUUUGGCUCGAGUACGGGAGAGGAGGAUGGAAUUCCCAGUGUAGAGGUGAAAUUCGUAGAUAUUGGGAGGAACACCGGCGGCGAAAGCGGUUCUCUGGACCGUUACUGACGCUGAGACGCGAAAGCGUGGGGAUCAAACAGGAUUAGAAACCCUAGUAGUCC